RNAcentral lists this transfer RNA (66 nucleotides) under Neurospora africana FGSC 1740. Its description in RNAcentral is "tRNA-Gln (CTG) (tRNA-Gln-CTG-3-1)". It matches the Rfam family "tRNA". From Rfam's summary of the family: Transfer RNA (tRNA) molecules are approximately 80 nucleotides in length. Their secondary structure includes four short double-helical elements and three loops (D, anti-codon, and T loops). The record is from RNAcentral. RNAcentral also lists the same sequence under 1 other name. Lineage: Eukaryota; Fungi; Ascomycota; Sordariomycetes; Sordariales; Sordariaceae.
NNAGUGUAGCGGUUAUCACUCCGGAUUCUGAUUCCGGCAACCCCGGUUCGAUUCCGGGUAGGACCU